RNAcentral lists this ribosomal RNA (200 nucleotides) under uncultured bacterium. Its description in RNAcentral is "partial 16S ribosomal RNA". It matches the Rfam family "Bacterial small subunit ribosomal RNA", at positions 28 to 230 of the family's 1533-position model. The record is from RNAcentral.
GACGAACGCUGGCGGCGUGCUUAACACAUGCAAGUCGAACGGAAAGGUCUCUUCGGAGACACUCGAUUGGCGAACGGGUGAGUAACACGUGGGUGAUCUGCCCUGCACUUCGGGAUAAGCCUGGGAAACUGGGUCUAAUACCGGAUAGGACCAAGAGAUGCAUGUCUUUUGGUGGAAAGCUUUUGCGGUGUGGGAUGGGC